RNA transcript from Ictalurus punctatus (channel catfish), 1230 nucleotides. It is a transcript of the gene named myeloid cell surface antigen CD33, with no coding region annotated. The record is from RefSeq and is a predicted model, not a curated record. The transcript has 6 exons. Lineage: Eukaryota; Metazoa; Chordata; Actinopteri; Siluriformes; Ictaluridae.
AAGCAGAGCUUUUGGCAGUUUGGUGUUCUAGAGAACUCGGGUGUGUGUCUGCUUCAUGAGAAGAAGAAAGGACAUCAGCCUUGACCUCAGAGAAGCAAUUGUUGCCACUCAUUAAUCUGGGAAGGGUCAUAAGGCCAUCUCCAAACAAGUUAAAAUUCUCCAUUCUACAGUGAGAAGGAUUGUUCACAAACGGAGAGCCUUCAAGGCAGUUAGCAAUCUUCUCAGGAGUUGGUGUACAAAUGAAUCCAGUCCAAAGACAAGCCCCAGCGAUACAGGCCUCUGUGUUCUCACUCAGAUCAGCGGUGACAGUGUGAAAUAUCCGGAUAAUCCAAUCUGUGCUGUGAGAGGAUUCAGUGUCUCCAUUCCCUCUCAUCAAUCACCACAUCAGACUUUGAGUACGCUGGAGACGACAAAUCAGACUGCACUUUGUUAAUCCACAAUGUACAGUUCAGUUAUUCUGGAGAGUACAGAUUCAGAUUUAUAACUAAUGACCCCAAAAUCAGAUACACAGGUCUUCCUGGAGCGAUUCUACAAGUUUCAGAUUUAAAGGUGUCACUAAUCAGGCUCAGUGGAAUCGGAACCCUUAAACAAGGAGACUCGUUAAAUCUGACGUGUGAUGUGAACUGCACACAAAGUUCCUCACAGUUUGUGUGGUCUAAGAACAACGAGCGCUUAAAUACAUCAGGACCCGUUCUUCACUUUCCUGCUGUAACCGUGAGGGAUUCUGGGAAUUACACCUGCACUUGGAAAACCAACAUGACGUCAGGAUCUGAAACGAUCAGCCUUCUCGUCGAGGAUGACAACACUGAAAAUCCUGAAGGUUGGCCCAUCUGGAUGAUUGCUUCACUGACAGUUGGAGUGAGUGUCGUCAUCAUCACACUCAUCGUAGGAGCUGUGAUUUUCAACAGGAGGUGUGUGUGUGAAUGCAGGAGUGUCCAUACUGAGAAGCAGAAGAAGGAUGUGACUAAUAUCUACGCUAAUGUCCGGCAGAAGGAGGACGAUUCUGAUAUCUACGCUAAUGUACAAUAGCAACGAGCUGAUCACAGGUUCACACCUCAUGCUCAGCUUAAAGGCUUCUUCUUACGAGUUUCCUCUGUGCACUGAAACAGAAGGUUAAACAGCAUACACUUCCUGUGUAGUGCAUUUGAGCUUACUUUCAUGAUGUACAGCUUGGCAAUUUAUUACAUUUAUUGUCAUUACAGUCGUGGAACAAUUGUUUUUUUUAAAGUU